AACUCGGCUGCAUGAAGCUGGAAUCGCUAGUAAUCGCGGAUCAGAACGCCGCGGUGAAUACGUUCCCGGGUCUUGUACACACCGCCCGUCACACCAUGGGAGCCGGAAACGCCCGAAGCCAGCGGCCCAACCGCAAGGGGGGAGCUGUCGAAGGCGGGGCCGGUGACCGGGGUGAAGUCGUAACAAGGUAGC
This 192-nucleotide ribosomal RNA is filed under the name uncultured bacterium. RNAcentral describes it as "partial 16S ribosomal RNA". It matches the Rfam family "Bacterial small subunit ribosomal RNA", at positions 1309 to 1500 of the family's 1533-position model. The record is from RNAcentral.